This is a long non-coding RNA of Bubalus bubalis (water buffalo), 1077 nucleotides long. RefSeq lists it as uncharacterized. The transcript has 3 exons. Lineage: Eukaryota; Metazoa; Chordata; Mammalia; Artiodactyla; Bovidae. The record is from RefSeq and is a predicted model, not a curated record.
ACCCACAUAUACACAAACACACAUACACACCACACACACACACACCUAUAUACGCACCCGCCCAAAUACACACACACACACCUGCCUACAUGCACACACACACACACCCUUCACUUCCCCGUUCUGCAGACUGCUCCUCUCACCUCACACUUUCACAACCAGGACAGGCAGCUUGCCCUUGAGACUCAGCAACACAGACUGGGAGAGCUCCCCCUCCCUCAUCCCUCACCCCUCACCCCCUCCCUCUUUCCACCACAUCUAGUUCCGGUCCAUCCGUCCAUCCAUUUACUGAGGCCUCCAUGUGCCUCUGGCUCCACAAAUACGGGAAACACCCCAGCGCCUGCUCCCUUGGGGCUGACAGUCCAGAGGGACGACAGACGUUCACAGACAGUUGUGCGAACCCAUGGGUACCAACGGUGAUGCGUGCCCUCGGGGGUCUCAUAAGACGUUUGGCUCCUUUAAUCCUGUCCAUGGGCAGCUAUAUGAUGAUGAUGUGAUAUCUGGAGCAGCAACAGCCAUAUUGCAACCAUGAGGCAACAAGCUUGACUACAAUAGCAGAGAUACUGAACAUACUGAGGUGAAAGAAUACAAGAUCUAAGGAGCUACACUUCGCACCUGGUUUCCUUGGACUCUGUGCUAAACACGUCCCCUAGCUGGUGUUGACCCUUGCAACACCCUGCCCCUUGUUACAUAUCAGAAAGAAGACGGCAGAGCCACCAAGCUGCCAGACUCCAUUACUGGGUUACUGACACCCGCCGAUGACUGCCUUUGAAACAAUGCAAGAGCAAGAAAUCAAGACCCUAUCAUCUUCGCUCCUCAUCACCAACCCCUGCAAGCCCUUGUCUUAUAUAAGCCCCUAUACCCUUCGUGGGGGUUUGGGGGCACAUUCUUGAGGCACAAGCCUACUGCGUUCCCCUCUCUGCCAGCUGAGAAUAAAAGCCCCCUUUCUAUUUCCUCCAAACUGUCUUCACAUUUUUUCAUUUGGCUUCACUGGGCCGAGAAGGCCAAGUUUUGGCCGGCAACAGUUUUCUCUCGAGAAGGGAAGUAACUCCUUUCCUUGAGGUUUUGUUUCUCCUC